CUAAAAUCAACGAGACAGACACCUUUGGGCCUGGAGACGACGAUGAGAUCCAGUUUGAUGACAUUGCAGACGACGACGAUGACAUUGAUGAUAUCUAAAGGCCUGCUUCAGGAGGGAAUCGAUUCAGCGCAUUUUUUUACCAUUGGCUAAUGUCCAAUGUCCAAUAAAGUGAAUUCAAAUACAG
Molecule: long non-coding RNA, 184 nt
Organism: Oryzias melastigma (Indian medaka)
Lineage: Eukaryota; Metazoa; Chordata; Actinopteri; Beloniformes; Adrianichthyidae
Exons: 2
Source: RefSeq, a predicted model, not a curated record